ACGGGUGAGUAACGCGUAGGAAUCUACCUUAGAGAGGGGGACACCCCGAGGAAACUCGGGCUAAUACCGCAUAGACUCGAAAGAGUAAAGCUGGGGCAACCUGGCACUGUAAGAAGAGCCUGCGUCUGAUUAGCUAGUUGGUUAGGUAAAAGCUGACCAAGGCGAUGAUCAGUAACUGGUCUGAGAGGAUGAUCAGUCACACUGGGACUGAGACACGGCCCAGACUCCUACGGGAGGCAGCAGUGGGGAAUAUUGGACAAUGGGGGCAACCCUGAUCCAGCAAUGCCGCGUGUGUGAAGAAGGCCUUCGGGUUGUAAAGCACUUUAGUUGGGGAAGAAGUAUUUUAGUUUAAGAGAUGAAGAUAUUGACGGUACCCAAAGAAUAAGCACCGGCUAACUCUGUGCCAGCAGCCGCGGUAAUACAGAGGGUGCGAGCGUUAAUCGGAGUUACUGGGCGUAAAGGGCGCGUAGGCGGUUGUUUAAGAUGGAUGUGAAAUCCCUGGGCUUAACCUAGGAAUGGCAUACAAGACUGAACAGCUAGAGUACUGUAGAGGGUAGUGGAAUUUCCGGUGUA
This 573-nucleotide ribosomal RNA is filed under the name uncultured bacterium. RNAcentral's name for it is "bacterial SSU rRNA". It matches the Rfam family "Bacterial small subunit ribosomal RNA", at positions 102 to 677 of the family's 1533-position model. The record is from RNAcentral.